AGCGGCGUAAGGGGCAGUAAUACCUGGGAACGUACCUGGAGGUCGGGGAUAGCUGCUGGAAACGGCGAGUAAUACCCGAUGAUCUUGGAAAAGCAAAGGCUUGCCGCCUUCGGAGCGGCCCAGGCGAUAUUAGCUAGUUGGUGAGGUAACGGCUUACCAAGGCCAAGAUGUCUAGCGGGUGUGAGAGCACGACCCGCGCCACUGGCACUGAGACACUGGCCAGACACCUACGGGUGGCUGCAGUCGAGAAUCUUCGGCAAUGAGCGCAAGCUUGACCGAGCGACGCCGCGUGCGGGAUGAAGGCCUUCGGGUUGUAAACCGCUUUGGUCCGAGAGAAAGGGCAACUUGAUCGAUCGGAGAAACAAGGACGGGCUAAGUUCGUGCCAGCAGCCGCGGUAAGACGAACCGUCCAAACGUUAUUCGGAAUCACUGGGCUUAAAGGGCGCGUAGGCGGCCGAGCGGGUCGCGGGUGAAAUCCUCCAGCUUAACUGGAGAACUGCCCUCGAUACCACUGCGGCUCGAGGAAGGAAGGGGUCAUGGGAACUGUCGGUGGAGCGGUGAAAUGCGUUGAUAUCGACAGGAACGCCUGUGGCGAAAGCGCAUGACUGGUCCUUUUCUGACGCUGAGGCGCGAAAGCCAGGGGAGCAAACGGGAUUAGAUACCCCGGUAGUCCUGGCCUUAAACGAUGAGAACUAGGUAG
RNAcentral lists this ribosomal RNA (700 nucleotides) under uncultured bacterium. RNAcentral describes it as "bacterial SSU rRNA". It matches the Rfam family "Bacterial small subunit ribosomal RNA", at positions 94 to 823 of the family's 1533-position model. The record is from RNAcentral.